GUCUACGGCCAUGCUACCCUGAACAUGCCCGAUCCCGUCUGAUUUCGGAAGCUAAGCAGGGUUGGGCCUGGUUAGUACUUGGAUGGGAGACCGCCUAGGAAGACCAGGUGCUGUAGGUG
RNAcentral lists this ribosomal RNA (119 nucleotides) under Pteropus alecto (black flying fox). Lineage: Eukaryota; Metazoa; Chordata; Mammalia; Chiroptera; Pteropodidae. The record is from RNAcentral.